CUCUCUAAGAUAACCAGUUCAGAAAGAAUGCAUUCAUUGUUGAAAUCCAUUCUAUAUGUUAGAACGACAAGAUGUAAAAGGAAAAGAAAUGCUAUGAAUAUUUUGGAGUCAACAAGCAUCAAGAGUAAAUACUUCAUCAUCCAUCAAGCUUAAUUUUGGAAAUGGAGAAAGGAAGCAUUAAUUUUCAAUAAAGCUGUCUGUCUUAGGCCUGUUAUGAGCAAAUUAAUAUUUGUACCCCAGUAUUUAAUUGCUAGAAUGCUUCUGGGAGAGACCUGCAAAUAAAAUUAUCAAAUCAAUCUGUUAACAAGUGGGAGAUAAAUUUAAACUUAGAGCCAAACUGUGCAGCAGAUAGAUCACAGUAUUAAAUAUAUACCACACACUUUUUGCUUCAAGGUUUUAACUGUAAAUAUUAACAUUUACUUGCAUAUAAACCUCAACAGCCAAUUAGAACUUUUUGAUACAGAAUCAGAAGUUGCAACUUUCCAAGAACCAGAGGAUAGGGGGUCUAGUGGUGUGAUAGUUUCAACUUUAAAACACAUAGAAUCGAGUGCUUAUCUUUAUUGCCUUAUGUUUUAAGACUGCACAAUCUAUAUCUAAACUACCAGCACUAAUAAAUUUAAAUCAGUUGUAAAACUUACUGAGCAUGCAUGAACAUGAACUUGAAAACUUUACAUUCAUGACCAACUGAUUCCUAAGUCCUAGCAAAUCAACAUUAACCUUUAAACCUCUCUCUCUCUCUCUCUCUGUGUGUGUGUGUGUGUGUGUGUGUGUGUAGUANNNNNNNNNNNNNNNNNNNNAACCUUACCUCUCUCUCUCUCUCUGUGUGUGUGUGUGUGUGUGUGUGUGUGUGGAUGUAAAUAUGAUUGCUCAUCAGCAUUUCAUAUCAUAAAUCCCGUUCUUUUUAAACAACCAACAUAAUUGCAUAGUUUAUUUGAACAAGUAGAAUAAUACAAAAAAGAAAGAAAAGGAAAACAAAAGCACAAUGUCUGCUAUUGGUGUAGAUAGGUUAGUCAAGAUUAUAGCUUCAGUCUCACAAAGACCAAUUAAAAAAAAAAAAUCAAAAGAUGCUGAAGCUGAUGCUGUUUCAAGAGACAUUGCAUAUUCUUUUGUAAUAUGCAUUGUAUCCUACCUAAACAUUUAAAAAAAAAGAUAAAUUAUAUCUCUAGUCCUUAAACUAUAUCAGAUUUUUUUAAAUGAUCCCUAAACUAUAAAAAUCUAAACUUUGGUCCCCAAACUUUCUAAACCGUUUUAAUGUUGCCCUUCGCCCAUUUCCGAUGCCUUUUUCGCACCGAAAAUCCUAUAAGGCAAUCACCGACGCUGAUCUGAAAUAAAAAAAUAAAAAACCUCUCUCCCUCUCUCUCUCACGACCCCCCUUCCCUCCUAUGACCGCGCCACCGCCCUUCUCCGCUGCAGCCCCCCGGCCACCCCCCACCUUGUGCUCAUGCCGUCCCAUGCCCCCCUUGCCGCCCCUCUCCACCGCAGCCCCCACCACUAGUGCCUGUCUCUGCCCCCCUGCCGUCUCUCUCCACCAUAGCCCCCAGCCCUCGUACUCCCCUCCCCAAUUGGCGCUCGUGCCCCACCCCUCCCCACAUGCUCGUGCCACAUCCCCACCCCCUUCCCUGUCUUCUCCAUCAAAGAAUUAAGACCUGAUUGCCGGUGAUCGUCGGAUUUUUUGCGAAAGCCUUUCACCAUGUCCACCUCAAUUUCUCACUGCAGCCAUCACCAAAACUCAAGGUAAGCCCCGAAUCCUCUUCUUCCCCUUCCUUCCCUUGCCUGUGCACACAGCCACGACCGCUGGCUUCAUUGGAAAACCGAGAUCAAAGUCUCCCCUUUUUUUUUGUGUUCAGCCCUUUUCUUUUGGCUUUUUCCGAUGCCGAUGGUCACCGCCGACGUCGGUUUGGGUUCCCCGAACUGCACUGUCGCAGUCCUAUGUGACACCGGCCACCGACGAUAGCCGUGGUAACAUGACAAAAAAAAAGAAAAGCUCUUCCCCUCCCUCCAUGGCUGUUUCUUCCAUCCCCCCCUGGCCCCCUUUCUUCCGCUUCCCCAUUGGCCCUGGCUCCCCUUGCCCUUCCUUUCCCCUCCUCCACCGCCGUCAUUGCCAUCGGAUUUCCCCUUCGUUCUCCAUCCGGGGUGGAUUCCGCCUCCAUCUAGGAGUCGGUUGAUCGAAAGGAGAAGACUCCUUACAAGAGUCUUCUUCGUUCUUUUUUUUUUUGGUUACUUUGCAAUUCGUGCUUCGCCACGUAAGCACACCAAUGCCACCUCUUCAAAAAAUAGCUGCAUUAGUACCGAUUCAGCGAGAAACAACUAAAUCGGAGUGAGAAAAGCACCGAAAAUCAGUCGAAGGGCAACAUUAAGAUGAUUCAAAAAGUUUGGGGACUAAAGCUUAGGUUUUUAUAGUUGAAGGAUCAUUUAAAAAAUCUGAUAUAGUUUAAGGUCCAAAAACAUAAUUUACCCAAAAAAAAAAAGAAAAAGGUUCUACUUGUCCAUGACAAAAGUGACAAUUCUCUUGCUGCUUACUAGUUGUAGUCAUGAUUGCUCCCAACAAAAUAAAUAAAUAAAUAAAUAACUAAAAUCAUUGCAAGGAAUUCAAUACAAAAGAGUCAUUUAUGCACAAGAAAAUCCAUAAAAUUCAAUACCUAACAAAAGAAUAUGUAUCUUAACAGUAAGUGGGCCAAUGAGUUGCAUGUCUAGACUGAAAUGAAGAAGUGAAGAUCAAAAAAAAAAAGAAAAAAAAGAAAAGGCCGCCUAGUGCAGAAUGGUCCCAUCAUUGCAGGAUGUAGAGCAAGCUUUUCCAUACCAAUCGGUAUCGAUGCAUACUGACCAUACCAUCCUCUACUAGCACCAUAUCAGUACAAGGCAUGGAGGGAGUACCGACACUCAAUACACCAAACCAACCUCCCAUACUGAUUGUACGGAUAUUAUAAUAAGAUGAUAUCAAUACAGGGUCCAAUACCGAGAUAGCAAACCUUGGUCUAGAAAGUAUCAAAUUUAUGCAGCCUUACUCCCAUGUGUGGAGAGAUUGUUUUCAUGUUUUGAAUCUAUGACUUCUAGGUCAGAAUGGAGCAACUUUACCAUUACACCAAGACUCAUGGGUGGGAGUGAAGAUCAAUUAUACAGAAAUUCAAAUUUAUUCUCCCACAAUUCACUUCACAAAUUUGUUCUAGGAAUGCUUACUACAAGAGUUUCCUACAUUUAUUUAGUGAUUUCAGUGCAAAUUUUCUCAAAGAGAAGCAAGAUUCAUCAGGCCAUCUAACCAAUAGAGCCACAGAGUAUCUUCAAUGAUUGUGGUAGUGUGGUUGCCAAACAGAUAACUGAAGGAAAAACAGACUACCAUGCAAGCAUCACAAACAGAUAGCUGAAAGAAAAUGGACAUAAUUAUGAAAGAAAAACCCACUAUAAAAGAAAAAAAAUGAAGGGAAAAAAAAAAACAAUCUUGCACUCAAAGUUUAACUUGUACUGAGGAAAAGGAGGCAACACUAGGGGAAGCUAAUAGUGGUGCCAAAAUUAAAUCAAAUAAAUUCACAGUAGUUUAGACAGGAACCUCCAUACCUUCUCAACAGCAGGACAAAGCAAUACAUGAAGAUAGCUCUUUGCUUCAUGAUCUCAUGAUUCUCAUCAAUGAAAUGCAAGAAUAUCCAGUUAGUCUAGCAUAUGCCUGUCCUUAUCCUUCAAC
RNAcentral lists this long non-coding RNA (3676 nucleotides) under Elaeis guineensis (African oil palm). RNAcentral's name for it is "long non-coding RNA (EGUI_LNC013355)". Lineage: Eukaryota; Viridiplantae; Streptophyta; Magnoliopsida; Arecales; Arecaceae. The record is from RNAcentral.